GGAUCGGUUUGGAACACGGGGAUGCUUCGGCUGUCAUCUGCAUACAAUGUCACUGAAGCCUUAAAAGUACCAAAGUUUUGGUGUCUAGUGUCAAAAUUAUGGGGAGUAACAUGACGAAAAGGGCGCAAAAUCGAAAGGACGAAAAUAUGUUUUUUCUUUAUUUUUGUUUCGUUAGUUAAAAUGAAAUUAAAUGUGUAUCAUUAUCCGGGGCAAAUCGAGACACAUGGGGUGAAUUGAUAAGUGAUUUUAGCAAUGUUUUUGAACAAUAUUUGAAUAUUUUUUAAUUUGUUUCAGUAGGAAUAGACGCAAAACAACAACAUUAGUUUCUAAAUUUGAACUUUUAUGUCUAAAAACAGCUGUUCUGGCUUUCUUGUCGAAAAUUUACCAACACAUUGAAACCACGGGGUACCAUAGAAGUUGGUUUGUUUGACUCAAAAACAUGCUUUUUUGUAAAGCCCCACAACGUCCCUAACAAUGGGCUAUGCCAUGUUCGUGGACUCGCUCUUAAGGUUUCCCAACAACAUGGUUGAGCUCAACCGCCUCAAAUUGUAGAUUUAAAUUAACAUUAUGAUGAUCUGUAAGUUCAUUGGCCAAAUAAGAAUUUGCGGAAGACAUUUCAGAGGAUUUGAAAUAGACACCUGCUGGGAAGCUUUUCCUGAGACCUGAUGCUAAACAUAUAUUGUUGUUGGCGGCAUUUAUGGUUUAUUUUAAUGAAAAGAAUCAAUAUGAGCAGCUACAGGAUUAUUUUCCAAAAAAUUAAAUAAGACUUAUUAUAUUUUGAUUUGUGACCCUCUGAAAUGUUAUUCCCGAAACAGCGCCACCAAAUAUUUGGUGGCGGCUUCAGCAAGCUACGUCAGUAUCACGGGCCUGGUUUGGAAAAAGUUGCCAGCCGCGUUCGAUGUAUUUCCUGUAUUUCCAAUGCAUCAAGUGAUUUGUUGACAUUUUUCGGCAGCCUUCUCAAAGGUCUUUUCCGGAAAAAGAUCCGCCAGCAACUGGUACUGGUUUGACUUUUGCGGAGGGUGCCAAAUAUUAAACAUUAUGUUCACUGCUUGCAAAAAAAACAAGACCGUUCGCACGUCCGGGAUUAUUCGUAGAUUCCUGCGUCGUCGUAUCCUUCCCCGAAGCAGCAUCAAUUUUCCAGUUUGAGAAAAAUACAUAAACAAACUUUUAGUGUUUUUUUCUCUCUAACAGGGACUUCUUUCACCGGGUGGAGCUGUUCGGACGGUCCGCUCCUGCUGCGGCAUUCCCGGCACCCAUCAUGGCCACUUUAAGGCUUGCAAAGUGUCGAACGGUUGGACAAACCUUCCGAGAGACAAAUCUGGCUAAGAGAUGUUCAAAAUUUUUAGCAACUUAGGAACCGGCACCGGCUGUGGGAAUUCCAGAUCGCUGUCGGCGUUCCGUUCCUGGUGUUUGUUAGGGAUGUGCAGACGCACUGGACUCAAACUGCCGGCAGUGCAACGAGGGUUAGGCGAUACCAUAGCGCAACGACGUGCAACAAGUGAAAUCUCUCGCUGAAGAAGCACUUCGAACCGGCCGUACUUCUGGAGACAAAUAGCUAUACAAUUGAGGACAUCACCGAAUUGACCCGAUGUUUCCAGACGACAGGAACGACAAACACAAACUGCUGGGCAGUUAGGAAUCUACGGAUGGAGUGCAAUGUCCCGAGGACCCGAGGAGGAACGUGUACCGAUUACAUCGAUCGGUGUAAUCGAUGACGAGAUUGAACCGGAAUUACCAAAGAAAACGACGCGGAAAGAAAGUGCAAAAUUAAGUGAAAUUAAAGAGUAAUUUAAAAAAAACUCACUAAUUACUAUCAAAAGAAGUGUAUUUAGGAUUCCUUUUACUGUGUGUAAAUAGUUUUAGCAGCAUCAUUUAGUGAGGAAUAAAAAAUAAACAGUAUAAAAAUCAAUAAAAACUACUGUAGUUAUUAUUUAUUUCAUUGUACGAAUAUAGUUUAAACAGUACUAUUUAGUAUGGAAAAAACUAUGAAGAACUGUAAAUUGACUGUGCAAUCCAUUGUAAUGCUUGCUGUAUUUAUUAUAAAUGUAUGAUGUUUCAUAUUGUCAGGGCGAGUUUUUGGAUGAAAAAUGCAACAUUAGAUUAACAGUAAAAUGCGUCGUAUUUGGAAAAAAAAUGUAUGGAAAAAUUUCGAAAUUUUUAUGGUACCGGUGCAUAACAACCCCCCUUUUUUAUGGUAAAAUCCCAAAAUACGACGCAAAUUAUCUUAAAAAACGAUGCUGUCUACUGUUAAAACACUGUCAAAAUGACAAUAUAUUUUAUCGUUUUGUAACGUUAAAAUUUACUGUAAGUUCAUCAGAAAUCUUUAUGCGGGUAACCAACCUGUACAUAAUGAUAUUCAAAAGAUCAAUUAAUGAAAACCAUGAUUUUUGAAGCUUCAAGUAGUCUAGAAUCGAGUAAAAAUAUCCAAAUAGGUCAUAUACGCUUUUCAAAAUUUCAUCCUAAGGUGUACAAUGCCGGAGAAUGCUCAUCACCAGCCAGAGCAAUAAUUCAUACAAGUUGAAAAAUCAUAAUUAAAGUAUAUUUUCAAUUUUCUGUCUAUUGCUCAUCACGAGCCAGAGCACUAAUUCAUACAAGUUGAAAAAUCAUGAAUUUCGGUCAUAAUUAAAGUAUAUUUUCAAUUUUCUGUCUAUUGCUCAUCACCAGUCAGAGCACUAAUUCAUACAAGUUGAAAAAUCAUUAAUUUAGGUCAUAAUUAAAGAAUAUUUUCAAUUUUCAUGUCUAUUGCUCAUAACCAGCCAGAGCACUUAUUCAUACAGGUUGAAAAAUCAUUAAUACUGGUUAUUAUCAAAGUAUAUUUUCAAAUUCAUGUCUAUUGCUCAUCACCAGCCAGAGC
Molecule: long non-coding RNA, 2854 nt
Organism: Culex pipiens pallens (northern house mosquito)
Lineage: Eukaryota; Metazoa; Arthropoda; Insecta; Diptera; Culicidae
Exons: 3
Source: RefSeq, a predicted model, not a curated record